RNAcentral lists this ribosomal RNA (60 nucleotides) under Pseudomonas aeruginosa. RNAcentral also lists the same sequence under 2 other names. Lineage: Bacteria; Pseudomonadati; Pseudomonadota; Gammaproteobacteria; Pseudomonadales; Pseudomonadaceae. The record is from RNAcentral.
GCUGGCGACAAUAGCAAGAGUGAACCACCUGAUCCCUUCCCGAACUCAGAAGUGAAACCU